GGCCAGACUCCUACGGGAGGCAGCAGUGGGGAAUAUUGCACAAUGGGGGAAACCCUGAUGCAGCGACGCCGCGUGAGUGAAGAAGUAUUUCGGUAUGUAAAGCUCUCUCAGCAGGGAAGAAAAUGACGGUACCUGACUAAGAAGCCCCGGCUAACUACGUGCCAGCAGCCGCGGUAAUACGUAGGGGGCAAGCGUUAUCCGGAUUUACUGGGUGUAAAGGGAGCGUAGACGGCAUGGCAAGUCAGAUGUGAAAGCCCGGGGCUCAACCCCGGGACUGCUCUUGGAACUGCGCGGCUGGAGUGCAGGAGGGGCAGGCGGAAUUCCUGGUGUAGCGGUGAAAUGCGUAGAUAUCAGGAGGAACACCGGUGGCGAAGGCGGCCUGCUGGACUGCGACUGACGUUGAGGCCCGAAAGCGUGGGGAGCAAACAGGAUUAGAUACCCUAGUAU
Molecule: ribosomal RNA, 447 nt
Filed under: uncultured bacterium
Lineage: Bacteria
Description: bacterial SSU rRNA
Rfam family: Bacterial small subunit ribosomal RNA
Source: RNAcentral